UAGGGAAUCUUCCGCAAUGGACGCAAGUCUGACGGAGCAACGCCGCGUGAGUGAAGAAGGAUUUCGGUUCGUAAAACUCUGUUGUUAGAGAAGAACAGCGCAUAGAGUAACUGUUAUGCGUGUGACGGUACCUAAUCAGAAAGCCACGGCUAACUACGUGCCAGCAGCCGCGGUAAUACGUAGGUGGCAAGCGUUAUCCGGAAUUAUUGGGCGUAAAGCGCGCGUAGGCGGUUUUUUAAGUCUGAUGUGAAAGCCCACGGCUCAACCGUGGAGGGUCAUUGGAAACUGGAGAACUUGAGUGCAGAAGAGGAAAGUGGAAUUCCAUGUGGAGCGGUGAAAUGCGCAGAGAUAUGGAGGAACACCAGUGGCGAAGGCGACUUUCUGGUCUGUAACUGACGCUGAUGUGCGAAAGCGUGGGGAUCAAACAGG
Molecule: ribosomal RNA, 429 nt
Filed under: Bacteroidota bacterium
Lineage: Bacteria; Pseudomonadati; Bacteroidota
Description: Bacteroidetes bacterium partial 16S ribosomal RNA
Rfam family: Bacterial small subunit ribosomal RNA
Source: RNAcentral